AGAGUUUGAUCAUGGCUCAGAUUGAACGCUGGCGGCAGGCCUAACAUAUGCAAGUCGAACGGUAACAGGAAGAAGCUUGCUUCUUUGCUGACGAGUGGCGGACGGGUGAGUAAUGUCUGGGAAACUGCCUGAUGGAGGGGGAUAACUACUGGAAACGGUGGCUAAUACCGCAUAACGUCGCAAGACCAAAGAGGGGGACCUUCGGGCCUCUUGCCAUCGGAUGUGCCCAGAUGGGAUUAGCUAGUAGGUGGGGUAACGGCUCACCUAGGCGACGAUCCCUAGCUGGUCUGAGAGGAUGACCAGCCACACUGGAACUGAGACACGGUCCAGACUCCUACGGGAGGCAGCAGUGGGGAAUAUUGCACAAUGGGCGCAAGCCUGAUGCAGCCAUGCCGCGUGUAUGAAGAAGGCCUUCGGGUUGUAAAGUACUUUCAGCGGGGAGGAAGGGAGUAAAGUUAAUACCUUUGCUCAUUGACGUUACCCGCAGAAGAAGCACCGGCUAACUCCGUGCCAGCAGCCGCGGUAAUACGGAGGGUGCAAGCGUUAAUCGGAAUUACUGGGCGUAAAGCGCACGCAGGCGGUUUGUUAAGUCAGAUGUGAAAUCCCCGGGCUCAACCUGGGAACUGCAUCUGAUACUGGCAAGCUUGAGUCUCGUAGAGGGGGGUAGAAUUCCAGGUGUAGCGGUGAAAUGCGUAGAGAUCUGGAGGAAUACCGGUGGCGAAGGCGGCCCCCUGGACGAAGACUGACGCUCAGGUGCGAAAGCGUGGGGAGCAAACAGGAUUAGAUACCCUGGUAGUCCACGCCGUAAACGAUGUCGACUUGGAGGUUGUGCCCUUGAGGCGUGGCUUCCGGAGCUAACGCGUUAAGUCGACCGCCUGGGGAGUACGGCCGCAAGGUUAAAACUCAAAUGAAUUGACGGGGGCCCGCACAAGCGGUGGAGCAUGUGGUUUAAUUCGAUGCAACGCGAAGAACCUUACCUGGUCUUGACAUCCACGGAAGUUUUCAGAGAUGAGAAUGUGCCUUCGGGAACCGUGAGACAGGUGCUGCAUGGCUGUCGUCAGCUCGUGUUGUGAAAUGUUGGGCUAAGUCCCGCAACGAGCGCAACCCUUAUCCUUUGUUGCCAGCGGUCCGGCCGGGAACUCAAAGGAGACUGCCAGUGAUAAACUGGAGGAAGGUGGGGAUGACGUCAAGUCAUCAUGGCCCUUACGACCAGGGCUACACACGUGCUACAAUGGCGCAUACAAAGAGAAGCGACCUCGCGAGAGCAAGCGGACCUCAUAAAGUGCGUCGUAGUCCGGAUUGGAGUCUGCAACUCGACUCCAUGAAGUCGGAAUCGCUAGUAAUCGUGGAUCAGAAUGCCACGGUGAAUACGUUCCCGGGCCUUGUACACACCGCCCGUCACACCAUGGGAGUGGGUUGCAAAAGAAGUAGGUAGCUUAACCUUCGGGAGGGCGCUUACCACUUUGUGAUUCAUGACUGGGGUGAAGUCGUAACAAGGUAACCGUAGGGGAACCUGCGGUUG
This 1522-nucleotide ribosomal RNA is filed under the name metagenome. Its description in RNAcentral is "bacterial SSU rRNA". It matches the Rfam family "Bacterial small subunit ribosomal RNA". The record is from RNAcentral.